This 74-nucleotide transfer RNA is filed under the name Methanolobus vulcani. RNAcentral describes it as "tRNA-Val". Lineage: Archaea; Methanobacteriati; Methanobacteriota; Methanomicrobia; Methanosarcinales; Methanosarcinaceae. The record is from RNAcentral. RNAcentral also lists the same sequence under 1 other name.
GGGCUCGUGGUCUAGCUGGUCAUGACGUUGCCUUCACACGGCAGAGGUCGCGAAUUCGAAUUUCGCCGGGCCCA